Lutra lutra (Eurasian river otter) is the source of this 367-nucleotide long non-coding RNA. RefSeq lists it as uncharacterized. Lineage: Eukaryota; Metazoa; Chordata; Mammalia; Carnivora; Mustelidae. The record is from RefSeq and is a predicted model, not a curated record. The transcript has 4 exons.
GUCCAGUUGGUCCCUUUUUGUUCUCAGAUCAACCCUCUGAGAAGUGACCGCAUGUUCAGAGGGUGCUCUCAGACUACACUUGUCCACCUUGUCACUGGUAUUUUUGAUGCUUAUCUUUCCAACCAGCUCUGUGAGAGCUGUGUUCUAAUUACCCUGCUAUACAACCAUAUCCCUGAUGGUUGCCGAAGGAGUGUGGAGACAGGGAAAGAUACUUCAGAGCUCAUGCUAUGAGGUGAUUGGGCUCCAGAGGCAUUUCAUGACCCCAGGAGUUCCUAAGUGCAGCCGUGCAACUAGGACCAUUUUCUCGGCAGAACUUUCUGCCACAUCACUGGUUCAUGGAGAAACCAUACAGUUCAGAGCCAGAGAC